Molecule: non-coding RNA, 575 nt
Organism: Paramuricea clavata
Lineage: Eukaryota; Metazoa; Cnidaria; Anthozoa; Malacalcyonacea; Plexauridae
Source: the annotation of a GenBank genome assembly
UCUACUUCAACAGAAGAACAAAGUGAUUUAAAACGAAAAAACUAAAAAAAAAGAAAGAAAUUGAAGAAAUCACUUCAACAGAAGAACGAACUUUAAAAGGAACAACUACAAUACUUGAAACGGAUAAGACGACUUUUUCAUUUUUCAUAACUGGGCAAAAAAAGCAAAUAAGUAAGGUUAUUCCCUUAACUUUUCGUCCAUUUUAACGACUUUUUUUCGUAAAGGGACAAAAAACAGCAAAAAAGCAAUCAAAAAGGACAAACAACAGCAAAAACCAAUAUAUCUUUACUUUUCUGUCGAUUUUUAUAUUUUUCAUUUUCCGUAAAGGGACAAAUAUAGCCUUUACUUUUAGUCUAUUUUUAAGGUUACAGGACACCCUUUUUGGCGUUUUGCGGAAAAUCGCUACUGCGCGCUCAAUAUCAGUCCGAUUUGAAUCAAAUUUUCACCAAAUGUUCCCCAGUGUAUGCAAAAUAUGGUAAAGUUGUAAAAUUAACAAACAAUAAAAUAAUACAAGAAUUAUUCUGGAAAAUCUUAAAUCGCGGUACCGUUACGCUUUUGAGUUGUGCUCCUGCUGG